RNAcentral lists this ribosomal RNA (861 nucleotides) under Pseudolaccaria pachyphylla. RNAcentral describes it as "partial large subunit ribosomal RNA". It matches the Rfam family "Eukaryotic large subunit ribosomal RNA", at positions 79 to 923 of the family's 3401-position model. The record is from RNAcentral. Lineage: Eukaryota; Fungi; Basidiomycota; Agaricomycetes; Agaricales; Callistosporiaceae.
CCUAGUAACUGCGAGUGAAGCGGGAAAAGCUCAAAUUUAAAAUCUGGCAGCCUUUGGCUGUCCGAGUUGUAAUCUAGAGAAGUGCUAUCCGCGCUGGACCGUGUACAAGUCUCCUGGAAUGGAGCGUCAUAGAGGGUGAGAAUCCCGUCUCUGACACGGACUCCCAGGGCUUUUGUGAUGCGCUCUCAAAGAGUCGAGUUGUUUGGGAAUGCAGCUCUAAAUGGGUGGUAAAUUCCAUCUAAAGCUAAAUAUUGGCGAGAGACCGAUAGCGAACAAGUACCGUGAGGGAAAGAUGAAAAGAACUUUGGAAAGAGAGUUAAACAGUACGUGAAAUUGUUGAAAGGGAAACGCUUGAAGUCAGUCGCAUCGGCUGGGAAUCAACCUUGCUCUUUUGCUUGGUGUAUUUCCCAGCUGAUGGGUCAGCAUCAAUUUUGACCAAUGGAAAAAGGUCAAGGGAAUGUGGCAUCUUCGGAUGUGUUAUAGCCCUUGGCUGUAUACAUUGGUUAGGAUUGAGGAACUCAGCACGCCGCAAGGCCGGGUUUUUAACCACGUUCGUGCUUAGGAUGCUGGCAUAAUGGCUUUAAUCGACCCGUCUUGAAACACGGACCAAGGAGUCUAACAUGCCUGCGAGUAUUUGGGUGGAAAACCCAUAUGCGCAAUGAAAGUGAAGAUCAGGAUCUCUGUCGUGGAGAGCACUGAUGCCCGGACCAGACCUUUUGUGACGGAUCUGCGGUAGAGCAUGCAUGUUGGGACCCGAAAGAUGGUGAACUAUGCCUGAAUAGGGUGAAGCCAGAGGAAACUCUGGUGGAGGCUCGUAGCGAUUCUGACGUGCAAAUCGAUCGUCAAAUUUGGGUAUAGGGG